AGUGAACGCUGGCGAUAGGCCUAACACAUGCAAGUCGAACGGCAGCACAGUAAGAGCUUGCUCUUACGGGUGGCGAGUGGCGGGCGGGUGAGGAAUACAUCGGAAUCUACUUUUUCGUGGGGGAUAACGUAGGGAAACUUACGCUAAUACCGCAUACGACCUACGGGUGAAAGCAGGGGAUCUUCGGACCUUGCGCGAUUGAAUGAGCCGAUGUCGGAUUAGCUAGUUGGCGGGGUAAAGGCCCACCAAGGCGACGAUCCGUAGCUGGUCCGAGCGGAUGAUCAGCCACACUGGAACUGAGACACGGUCCAGACUCCUACGGGAGGCAGCAGUGGGGAAUAUUGGACAAUGGGCGCAAGCCUGAUCCAGCCAUACCGCGUGGGUGAAGAAGGCCUUCGGGUUGUAGAGCCCUUUUGUUGGGAAAGAAAAGCAGCAGGUUAAUACCCCGCUGUUCUGACGGUACCCAAAGAAUAAGCACCGGCUAACUUCGUG
This 492-nucleotide ribosomal RNA is filed under the name uncultured bacterium. RNAcentral describes it as "partial 16S ribosomal RNA". It matches the Rfam family "Bacterial small subunit ribosomal RNA", at positions 29 to 507 of the family's 1533-position model. The record is from RNAcentral.